This 449-nucleotide ribosomal RNA is filed under the name uncultured bacterium. RNAcentral describes it as "bacterial SSU rRNA". It matches the Rfam family "Bacterial small subunit ribosomal RNA", at positions 355 to 796 of the family's 1533-position model. The record is from RNAcentral.
UCGAGAAUCAUUCGCAAUGGGCGAAAGCCUGACGAUGCGACGCCGCGUGUGUGAUGAAGGCCUUCGGGUCGUAAAGCACUUUCGCCUGGGAACAAGAGAGGUGGGCUAAUAACCCGCUGAUUUGAGGGUACCAGGUAAAGAAGCACCGGCUAACUACGUGCCAGCAGCUGCGGUAAUACGUAGGGUGCUAGCGUUAAUCGGAAUUAUUGGGCGUAUAGGGCGCGUAGGCGGAUUGAUAAGUUGGAUGUGAAAUCCCAGAGCUCAACUCUGGAACUGCAUCCAAAACUGUUGAUCUAGAGGGUAGAUGGGGAAAAUGGAAUUCCACAAGUAGCGGUGAAAUGCGUAGAUAUGUGGAAGAACACCUGUGGCGAAAGCGGUUUUCCAAUUUACUCCUGACGCUGAGGCGCGAAAGCAAGGGGAUCAAACAGGAUUAGAUACCCCUGUAGUCC